GGAGUUGUGGCUCAGUGGUAGAGCACUCUCCUAGCACAUGUGAGGCACUGGGUUCGAUCUUCAGCACCA
RNAcentral lists this transfer RNA (69 nucleotides) under Marmota monax (woodchuck). Its description in RNAcentral is "tRNA.Ala". The record is from RNAcentral. Lineage: Eukaryota; Metazoa; Chordata; Mammalia; Rodentia; Sciuridae.